AAAAAUUAAAAAUUCAAUAUAUCAAAAAGCAUGAAUUAGAACACGUGAACCCUUCCUUUGUCUCAACCUUCACUUGACUUUUGUCUCCUCAAAGAUUGCGGCGACCCGUGAGAUCUAGACGUUGUGCGCCUGGUGCUUCCAGUGAACAAGCACACCGUUUCCACGAGCACCGAGGUCAUUACCAGAUCCACUUGAUAACGCGGCAAAAGGCAGCGACACAUUUCACAUUUCCACUGUCUCACAACCACAACCACAAUAGCAACAAAAAGAAAAUGUAGACAGAAUAGUGGAAGAGUCGUGCACGGUUUCUCGAUGGCGACCAAAUUUUGUUAUGUGGCAAUAUCGACUUGUCCCCUUCCAAUGUUUCUGCGCUGUAGUGUGUCGAGCUGCGGGCGAUUUUCUCAAACGCUCAAAAUCAAAGCAGAAAGGUCGACGCCGAUGUGGUAAGCCUAUAACUGACGCUGAAGACUCUUAUUCUAAAGAUCUGGCGAACAAUUGAUUCGUAUGAUGAGUAGUGCGGAGCUAAAUCUAGAGAUUAUUGAGACUAUAUGUAAUGUUUUGAACAACUAUUAAUAGAGCCUUCUUGAAUAAUUAUAUGAUUCUUUUUCAUUACGUAAUAUUGGAUUUUUCAUAUGCUUUCUGAGUUGAUUCUCAUUAACAGAAUGUCUGUUGGGGUUAAACAAUGAUUUGAAGCAAA
Molecule: long non-coding RNA, 697 nt
Filed under: Glycine max (soybean)
Lineage: Eukaryota; Viridiplantae; Streptophyta; Magnoliopsida; Fabales; Fabaceae
Description: long non-coding RNA (GMAX_LNC003810)
Source: RNAcentral